This 497-nucleotide ribosomal RNA is filed under the name uncultured bacterium. Its description in RNAcentral is "partial 16S ribosomal RNA". It matches the Rfam family "Bacterial small subunit ribosomal RNA", at positions 28 to 507 of the family's 1533-position model. The record is from RNAcentral.
GACGAACGCUGGCGGCGUGCCUAAUACAUGCAAGUUGAGCGCUGACGCAUUGUACUUUUACCAACAGGAUGAGCAGCGGACGGGUGAGUAACGCGUGGGUCAUCUUCUUUUUAGCGGGGGACAACAUUGGGAAACGAAUGCUACUACCACAUAAAAACUUUAAACACUAGAUUCAAGUUUGAAAGAUGCAAUUGCAUCACUCAUAGGUGAUUCCGCGUUGAAUUAGUUAGUUGGGGAGGUAAAGGCUCACCAAGGCGAUGAUACAUAGCCUGCCUGAGAGGGAGGUCGGCCACAUUGGGACUGAGACACGGCCCAAACUCCUACGGGAGGCAGCAGUAGGGGAUCUUCGGAAAAGGACGAAAGUCUGACCGAGCAACUCCGCGUGAGUGAAGAAAGUUUUCGGGUCGUUAAACUCUGUUUGUUGAGAAGAACGUUGGGGAGGGUGGAAAGCUCAUGAAGUGACGGUAACUACACAGAAAGGAACGGCUAACUACGUG